RNAcentral lists this ribosomal RNA (484 nucleotides) under uncultured bacterium. Its description in RNAcentral is "partial 16S ribosomal RNA". It matches the Rfam family "Bacterial small subunit ribosomal RNA", at positions 30 to 507 of the family's 1533-position model. The record is from RNAcentral.
AUUGAACGCUGGCGGCAUGCCUUACACAUGCAAGUCGAACGGUAACGGGCCUCUUGCUGCUGACGUGUGCCGCACGCGUGUGUAUUAUACCUGAACGUGUCCGUUCUUGUGGGAUAACACGUCCAAAGCCUUGCUAUUAUCCCACACGCUUUACGGGUGAAAACAUGGGACCGCUUCGCCUUUCGCGCUCUGAGCGGCCCCUAGGUCAGAUUAGCUAGUUGGUGGGGUAAAAGCAUACCAAGGCGACGAUCCGUAUCUGGUCUGAGAGGAUGAUCAGUCACACUGGGACUGAGACACGGUCCAGACUCCUACGGGAGGCAGCAGUGGGGAAUAUUGGACAAUGGGCGAAAGCCUGAUCCAGCCAUGCCGCGUGUGGGAAGAAGGUCUUCGGAUUGUAAAGUGCUUUAAGAUGGGAGGAAAAGCAUUAUGUUAAUACAGGGCUGUCAUGACGGUACCAAAAGAAUAAGCACCGGCUAACUACGUG